AUUGAACGCUGGCGGCAGGCUUAACACAUGCAAGUCGAACGAGUGGCGGACGGGUGAGUAAUGCUUGGGAAACUGGCUGAUGGAGGGGGAUAACUACGGGAAACUGUAGCUAAUACCGCGUACCAUAGGAUGAGCCCAAGUGGGAUUAGGUGGUUGGUGGGGUAAAGGCUCACCAAGCCGACGAUCCCUAGCUGGUCUGAGAGGAUGACCAGCCACACUGGAACUGAGACACGGUCCAGACUCCUACGGGAGGCAGCAGUGGGUAAUAUUGCGCAAUGGGGGCAAGCCUGACGCAGCCAUGCCGCGUGAAUGAAGAAGGCCUUCGGGUUGUAAAGUUCUUUCGGUAGCGAGGCGUUACCUACAGAAGAAGCACCGGCUAACUCCGUGCCAGCAGCCGCGGUAAUUC
This 406-nucleotide ribosomal RNA is filed under the name uncultured bacterium. RNAcentral describes it as "partial 16S ribosomal RNA". It matches the Rfam family "Bacterial small subunit ribosomal RNA", at positions 30 to 526 of the family's 1533-position model. The record is from RNAcentral.